CUGAUUGGGAAACUCGUCAAUUAUUCAUGAAAUACCGAGACACAGCUUAGCCAACCGAUGGCGGGCCACACCGGCAGUAAAAUGCCGGGCCUUCGCGCCGGUGGAUUACAAAGGAUGGCGAGCACUCAAAUCCUGUCAUUUCGGAGUUUCAUCGCAUCCUUUGAUGUGGCUUUC
Molecule: small RNA, 174 nt
Filed under: human gut metagenome
Description: Bacteroidales-1 6S-Bacteroidales RNA suggested
Rfam family: Bacteroidales-1 6S-Bacteroidales RNA suggested
Source: RNAcentral